Molecule: long non-coding RNA, 1554 nt
Organism: Cottoperca gobio
Lineage: Eukaryota; Metazoa; Chordata; Actinopteri; Perciformes; Bovichtidae
Exons: 3
Source: RefSeq, a predicted model, not a curated record
GCUAGAAGGUCAUUCUCGACCACAGCGUCUUUUAUUGUGGGGGUCUGCCUGAAAGCUCUCUCCCCCUGCAGGGCAGGGUUACUUUGAGCGCUGCCUCACUUCCAUCUGAUAGUUUGUUUUACUUUGAUUGCCCGGUGAUCAAAACCAGCUGCACCGGGUGUCAGGUUAACUGUACAGCAGCCUCAGAUGACGUCAAUGACCUGAUCAGCAACAUCUAGUGACAGUGACAGCAAACGUUACUGGAACACCCUGUAGGAGAUCAACCGGGCUUUUUCCCAGUGACUUCACCACUAAAGCAUGAAGCCCACUCCUGAACGGAGAUCCCCUUGCCCAGUGUGUUUAUCACAUCUCUGCUCCACAGCCGGCACACACACAUGCACACACACGUUCAAAAGCUCGGACACAUGCUAUCCUCUCGGGUGCCUGCAGUGCUGCCAGGAAAACAGGGGGCACCAAUUAUAGCAGUCUAUUAUUCCUCUCACUUCCCAGACAGCCACAUAAAACAGCCCUCCAACCCUUAAGACCCCCCCAGGUUCAGGUCGGCAUGGCCACACAGACCCUCUAGGUCUGGGUAUGGAGGUGAGUAGAGUUGCUGGGUCACUGUGUAACCAGGCCUGCACUCUUUGCAAUGAUGAGAAAGGGUUUUUCAAUGAGUCAGAUGUGACUGGAGACACAUCCAGACAAGUCAUACUGCUGAUUGUAGAGCGGCAGCAACAGGCAGGCUGGAAAUAUGAGGAGGCGAUGGAAGAACAGAAGAAGAAGAGGUGUAGGGCAUCGCUGGUUACUCCAGUGUCUCUAUCCAUCCCGUGGUGUCAUGCUAUAUGGGAUCUAUGGUUUCCUUUUUUCAAAUGAACAUCUCAUGACAAGCGGAUAACCACACCUAAUGUAUGUUAACUUAAAUGUACACUUUGCAGCAAUUCAGAAAACUGAAUAAAAUCAAUAUGUUGAGACUAAGGUUGAACUUUAGUGCCAGGCAUGAGAAUAAAUCAGAUGAGGAAGGUUUAGUGUGUGUACUGAAAGUUCUACUUUAUUCUUGAAAUGCUACACAAAUAUAAAAAUCUCCCUCCUCUCAUUUUUCCCCCUUAUGCUCUAAUACUCUUACGUAGAUGUACACUUAACGUCAUGAAACAAAGUCACAGAGUGGAAAAGGAAUGGCACUUGGAACAAAUGAGAACUUAAGACGUUUGAAGCUCUACUGUCCUUUUAACUCAAUGACUGUCACUAAUCCAACACAGCAGAUCAGCCAGUGGCACCAACAUGUAUGUCAGGGACCUGACAGUACACUGUGCGACUGUAAGCAGUCUGUUCAUAUAGACUGUGACAUGCUGCUCAGUCAACCACAUAGGUUACUACGCAUCUGUCAAAAGCCACAACACGCUGUAUAUCUUCCACUUCCAAACUGUAUGUUCUACUAUGGCUGCUCUAUAAGUGACGGCUUUACAAAACAACAAGGAGUUCAGCCUAAAGACAGGCAGCGAGGUCAAUUAAAUAUGUUGGGUUUUUCUUUUUUAAACAAAGUUUGUACAAGACAGAAGCAAAUAAAUUGUCAAAUUG